GACGAACGCUGGCGGCGUGCUUAACACAUGCAAGUCGAACGGGAUCUCUCUUUUCGGAGAGGGGUUUAGUGGCGAACGGGUGAGUAACACGUGGGUAAUCUGCCCUGCACUCUGGGAUAAGCCUGGGAAACUGGGUCUAAUACCGGAUAUGACCUGCUGCCGCAUGGUGGUGGGUGGAAAGCUUUUGCGGUGUGGGAUGGGCCCGCGGCCUAUCAGCUUGUUGGUGCGGUGAUGGCGUACCAAGGCGACGACGGGUAGCCGGCCUGAGAGGGCGACCGGCCACACUGGGACUGAGACACGGCCCAGACUCCUACGGGAGGCAGCAGUGGGGAAUAC
RNAcentral lists this ribosomal RNA (336 nucleotides) under uncultured bacterium. RNAcentral's name for it is "bacterial SSU rRNA". It matches the Rfam family "Bacterial small subunit ribosomal RNA", at positions 28 to 364 of the family's 1533-position model. The record is from RNAcentral.